Molecule: regulatory RNA element, 167 nt
Organism: Photobacterium aphoticum
Lineage: Bacteria; Pseudomonadati; Pseudomonadota; Gammaproteobacteria; Vibrionales; Vibrionaceae
Rfam family: DABA-DC-AT RNA
Source: Rfam
GCAAUCUCAGGGGGAAGUUGUACUGAGGCAUACUGUAUCAGGAAGUAUUCGGGCUGAUUGCUCUUGGUACGCUGUAGGUAUUGGCUAUUAACGAUAGUCAAUAGAAGGGCAUUAAUAGCGCAGACCUGUUAGGAAAAAAAGCAGGCGCAUAUUGAGGGAACCCAACG